Marmota flaviventris (yellow-bellied marmot) is the source of this 487-nucleotide long non-coding RNA. RefSeq lists it as uncharacterized. The record is from RefSeq and is a predicted model, not a curated record. Lineage: Eukaryota; Metazoa; Chordata; Mammalia; Rodentia; Sciuridae.
CAGGACAGCCACCAGCAAGAAAACUUCUGUGAGUGGCCUUGCUCCUGAGCACUUGUGAAAUAUCUCCUAGGGACUCCCAGAACUAAUCUGAAGAGUUAAGGAGGCUGAGCUCCUGCUUAAGCAAGUAGAGAUCAAAAUCAGGAAAGGUGUGUGGAUUCGCAAUGGGAAACCAGACGUGUAGCCUUCAUUUGCUACUAGCUCCUAGGCCUUAUGUGCGAGUGAUCCUCCGUCUCCUCCUCUAGAAAAUAAGAGGCCUGGACCAGAUGGGCUCUGUGGCCCCUCUAAGGAAGCCACGCAGAAUAAGAGUGUGGAAACCCCAGGACAUGGAAGCCAACCCAACUUGAGCAGGCUCAUCUCCAUCUUUCACUCUUUGGGCAGGUUACUCACCUUCCCGAGUCUGCAGUUCCUCUCUAGAACAUAAGAUGCAUACUAUCCACCAUGCAGAACUAUUGGAAUGUUAAAUAAAAUAAGGAACACAAGUACCUCA